Molecule: ribosomal RNA, 495 nt
Filed under: uncultured bacterium
Lineage: Bacteria
Description: partial 16S ribosomal RNA
Rfam family: Bacterial small subunit ribosomal RNA
Source: RNAcentral
AUUGAACGCUGGCGGCAGGCCUAACACAUGCAAGUCGAGCGCGAAAGUCUUCGGAUGAGUAGAGCGGCGGACGGGUGCGUAACGCGUAGGAAUCUACCUAGUAGUGGGGGACAACUCGGGGAAACUCGAGCUAAUACCGCAUACGCCCUAAGGGGGAAAGUGGGGGACCGUAAGGCCUCACGCUAUUAGAUGAGCCUGCGUAGGAUUAGCUAGUUGGUAGGGUAAAGGCCUACCAAGGCGACGAUCCUUAGCUGGUCUGAGAGGAUGAUCAGCCACGCUGGAACUGGGACACGGUCCAGACUCCUACGGGCGGCAGAAGUGGGGAAUCUUGCACAAUGGGAGAAAGCCUGAUGCAGCCAUGCCGCGUGUGUGAAGAAGGCCUUCGGGUUGUAAAGCACUUUAAGUGGGGAGAAAAGGGUAGUCAUUAACACUGGCUAUCUGUGAUGUUACCCACAGAAUAAGCACCGGCAAACUUCGUGCCAGCAGCCGCCGUAA